Molecule: unclassified non-coding RNA, 458 nt
Filed under: Musa acuminata (dwarf banana)
Lineage: Eukaryota; Viridiplantae; Streptophyta; Magnoliopsida; Zingiberales; Musaceae
Description: partial external transcribed spacer
Source: RNAcentral
GCAUGUGAGUGGUGAUGGAUUUGUAUGUCGCGGUGGGCUCCCUGCUAUUGUGCAGUAGACCACCGACGCCGCAAGUCUCUUCAAUGGCACUCUGUUUGAAUGGAGAUGCGUGUGUUGCCUGUACAAUCUACCUAGUUCCUUUGGAAAUAGACAUUGUUUACCUCGCUUAUCCACUUCUCAUAUCCUAUGUGAAUGAGGAGUGUCGAUGUCCGUGCACCUUGUGUGUCCUCGAACGAUUGCAUGUCUCAGACCUCUCGUUUCGAGUGGCUCCAGUGUUCACGUGAGUGCUCUUGGAUGCAGUGGAUAAGAAUGUACCAUGGGUCUUCGGACUCUUGGCACAUGAUCGGUUGGCUUUCUUAGUCGCCCUUUGACGGAUGACGGCCUUCCCAUCGGUGCCCCCUUUCCCUUGUGGUAAUGGGUCGGCAUGUUGGGCUUGGCGUCGUAGAGGACGUGCUACC